This 459-nucleotide ribosomal RNA is filed under the name uncultured bacterium. RNAcentral's name for it is "partial 16S ribosomal RNA". It matches the Rfam family "Bacterial small subunit ribosomal RNA", at positions 338 to 795 of the family's 1533-position model. The record is from RNAcentral.
CCUACGGGAGGCAGCAGUGAGGAAUAUUGGUCAAUGGACGCAAGUCUGAACCAGCCAUGCCGCGUGCAGGAAGACGGCUCUAUGAGUUGUAAACUGCUUUUGUACGAGGGUAAACGCAGAUACGCGUAUCUGUCUGAAAGUAUCGUACGAAUCAGGAUCGGCUAACUCCGUGCCAGCAGCCGCGGUAAUACGGAGGAUUCAAGCGUUAUCCGGAUUUAUUGGGUUUAAAGGGUGCGUAGUGGGAAUGCCAAGUCAGAGGGAAAAUCGGGGGGCUAAACUUCGCUCCGCGGUUGAAACUGGCGUUCUUGAGUGGAGGAGAGGUAUGCGGAAUGCGUGGUGUAGCGGUGAAAUGCGUAGAUAUCACGCAGAACUCCGAUUGCGAAGGCAGCAUACCGGAGCCCAACUGACGCUGAGGCACGAAAGCGUGGGUAUCGAACAGGAUUAGAUACCCCAGUAGUC